GGCUCAUUACAACAGCUAUUAUUUACUUGAUCUUGACUCCAUACGUGGAUAACUGUGGCAAUUCUAGAGCUAAUACAUGCAGCAAAGCUCAGACUACAAUUAGACGAGCGCAUCUAUUAGACUAAAAACCAAUCGAGAGUCGGGGAAUUCAUCUUCUCCUCUCUCGUUACUUUGGUGACUCUGAAUAGCUAAGCUGAUCGCAUGGUCUUGUACCGGCGACGUAUCUAUCAAGUAUCUGCCUUAUCAACUUUCGAUGGUAGUUUAUAUGACUACCAUGGUUGUAACGGGUAACGGAGAAUAAGGGUUCGACUCCGGAGAGGGAGCCUGAGAAACGGCUACCACUUCCAAGGAAGGCAGCAGGCGCGCAAAUUACCCACUCUCAGCACAGAGGAGGUAGUGACGAAAAAUAACGAGACCGUACUCGAUGAGGCCGGUUAUCGGAAUGGGCACAAUUUAAAACUGUUAACGAGGAUCAAUGAGAGGGCAAGUCUGGUGCCAGCAGCCGCGGUAAUUCCAGCUCUCAAAGUGUAUAUCGGCAUUGCUGCGGUUAAAAAGCUCGUAGUUGUAUUUCAGCCUUACGACGUGGUCCAUUCGUUGAAUGCGAACUAUGUAUCGUAGGCUAGAUGUAUGUCGGUUUUUCCUUGCGUCGCUCUAAACGGCAGCGUAAGGUGGCUGACGAGUUUACCUUGAAAAAAUUAGAGUGCUCAACGCGGGCGUUUCUGCCUGAAUACUCGUGCAUGGAAUAAUGGAAGAAGACUUCGGUUCUAUUUUGUUGGUUUUCUGAAUAGAGGUAAUGGUUAAGAGGGACAGACGGGGGCAUUCGUAUCGUUGCGUGAGAGGUGAAAUUCUUGGACCGUAGCGAGACGACCUACUGCGAAAGCAUUUGCCAAGAAUGUUUUCAUUAAUCAAGAACGAAAGUCAGAGGUUCGAAGGCGAUCAGAUACCGCCCUAGUUCUGACCGUAAACGAUACCAACUAGCGUUCCGUCAGCAGUAAUUACGCCUUGACGGGCAGCUUUCCGGAAACGAAAGUCUAUCGGUUCCGGGGGAAGUAUGGUUGCAAAGCUGAAACUUAAAGAAAUUGACGGAAGGGCACCACCAGGAGUGGAGCCUGCGGCUUAAUUUGACUCAACACGGGAAAACUCACCUGGCCCGGACACCGUGAGGAUUGACAGAUUGAGAGCUCUUUCUUGAUUCGGUGGUUGGUGGUGCAUGGCCGUUCUUAGUUGGUGGAGUGAUUUGUCUGGUUAAUUCCGAUAACGAACGAGACUCUAGCCUACUAAAUAGUCGGCGAAUAAUGUGCGCAUGCUGCAGUCUCAUGCAUCAUGUGUGUGUGUACGCUGCACUGCGUGGAGGUUCGUGUGACUUCUUAGAGGGACAAGCGGUGUUGAGCCGCAUGAAGUAGAGCAAUAACAGGUCUGUGAUGCCCUUAGACGUCCAGGGCUGCACGCGCGCUACACUGGAGGAAUCAACGUGCAUUGUCCGUUCUCGAAAGGCAACGGUAACCGAUUGAAAAUCCUCCGUGCUCGGAAUCGGGAAUUGCAAUUAUUUCCCUUGAACGAGGAAUUCCUAGUAAGUGUGAGUCAUCAGCUCACGCUGAUUACGUCCCUGCCCUUUGUACACACCGCCCGUCGCUGCCCGGGACUGAGCCGUUUCGAGAAAAGCGGGGACCGCUCUUAUUGAGCCCUCAACAUUUUGGUCGUCAUCUCGCGCACGUUUCUGUGCGCGUCUUGUGCGGUUGUUGUUUGCUUGAUAAAGAGUAGAAACCGCCU
This 1770-nucleotide ribosomal RNA is filed under the name Philometra floridensis. Its description in RNAcentral is "SSU rRNA". It matches the Rfam family "Eukaryotic small subunit ribosomal RNA". Lineage: Eukaryota; Metazoa; Nematoda; Chromadorea; Rhabditida; Philometridae. The record is from RNAcentral.